CCUACGGGUGGCUGCAGUGAGGAAUAUUGGUCAAUGGGCGCGAGCCUGAACCAGCCAAGUAGCGUGAAGGAUGACUGCCCUACGGGUUGUAAACUUCUUUUAUAAAGGAAUAAAGUGAGGCACGUGUGCCUGUUUGUAUGUACUUUAUGAAUAAGGAUCGGCUAACUCCGUGCCAGCAGCCGCGGUAAUACGGAGGAUCCGAGCGUUAUCCGGAUUUAUUGGGUUUAAAGGGAGCGUAGAUGGGUUUUUAAGGCAGUUGUGAAAGUCACCGGCUCAACCUAAAAAUUGCAAUUGAUACUGGUGUUCUUGAUGACUGGAGAGGCAGACGGAAUUCGGGGUGGAGCGGU
This 347-nucleotide ribosomal RNA is filed under the name uncultured bacterium. Its description in RNAcentral is "partial 16S ribosomal RNA". It matches the Rfam family "Bacterial small subunit ribosomal RNA", at positions 338 to 682 of the family's 1533-position model. The record is from RNAcentral.